Molecule: ribosomal RNA, 1761 nt
Filed under: human gut metagenome
Description: bacterial LSU rRNA
Rfam family: Bacterial large subunit ribosomal RNA
Source: RNAcentral
CCAAUCGAACCCGGAGAUAGCUGGUUCUCCUCGAAAUAGCUUUAGGGCUAGCCUCAUGAGAGUCUUAUGGAGGUAGAGCACUGAAUUGCCUAGGGGGCGUCAAAGCUUACCAAAGCAUAUCAAACUCCGAAUGCCAUCAAGAUGAUUCAUGGGAGUCAGACCAUACGAGAUAAGUUGGAUGGUCAAAAGGGAAAGAGCCCAGACCUACAGCUAAGGUCCCAAAGUACGUGUUAAGUGGAAAAGGAUGUGGGGAUUCUAAGACAACUAGGACGUUGGCUUAGAAGCAGCCAUUCAUUGAAAGAGUGCGUAAUAGCUCACUAGUCGAGAGUCCCUGCGCCGAAAAUGUCCGGGGCUGAAACACGACACCGAAGCUUAGGAAUGUGUAAACAUUGGUAGAGGAGCAUUGCUGGCGGGAUGAAGCCAUACCGUAAGGAGUGGUGGACUGCUAGGAAGAGAGAAUGCCGGAAUGAGUAGCGAGAUGAAGGUGAGAAUCCUUCAGGCCGAAUAUCUAAGGUUUCCAGAGUAAAGCUGAUCUGCUCUGGGUAAGUCGGGACCUAAGGCGAGGUCGAAAGACGUAGUCGAUGGAUAACAGGUUGAAAUUCCUGUACCGCAUAUAAACAGAACUGUGGGGACACAGACAGGGAAUGGAAUCCGGGAGUGGAGAUCCCGGUGCAAGCGAGGUAGGAGUGCUGUUGGCAAAUCCGCAGCACGAUCUGAAGACGUGACGCGUACCGAACAUAAGUAGGGAAGUCCAGGCCCCUGGCUGUCAAGAAAAGCCGCUAUCGUUUUAUAUGUGCCCGUACCGCAAACCGACACAGGUGGAUGAGGAGAGAAUCCUAAGGCCGACGGGAGAAGUAUUGUUAAGGAACUCGGCAAAAUGACUCCGUAACUUCGGGAGAAGGAGUGCCAUGAGAGUGGCCGCAGAGAAAUGGCCCAAGCAACUGUUUAGCAAAAACACAGGUCUAUGCAAAACCGCAAGGUGAAGUAUAUGGGCUGACGCCUGCCCGGUGCUGGAAGGUUAAGGGGAGAGGUUAGCGCAAGCGAAGCUUUGAACUUAAGCCCCAGUAAACGGCGGCCGUAACUAUAACGGUCCUAAGGUAGCGAAAUUCCUUGUCGGGUAAGUUCCGACCCGCACGAAAGGCGUAAUGAUUUGAGCGCUGUCUCGACAAUGCAUCCGGUGAAAUUGAAGUACCAGUGAAGAUGCUGGUUACCUGCGCCAGGACGGAAAGACCCCAUGGAGCUUUACUCCAGUUUGAUACUGGGAUUCGGUACUGCACGUACAGGAUAGGUGGGAGACUGAGAACUAUGGACGCCAGUCUGUAGGGAGUCGCUGUUGGGAUACCACCCCUGUAGUACUGGGUUUCUAACCAGCUGCCGUGACCCGGCAGUGGGACAAUGUCAGGCGGGGAGUUUGACUGGGGCGGUCGCCUCCGAAAGGGUAUCGGAGGCGCUCAAAGGUUCCCUCAGAAUGGUUGGAAACCAUUCGAAGAGUGCAAAGGCAGAAGGGAGCUUGACUGCGACACCGACGGGUGGAGCAGGUACGAAAGUAGGACUUAGUGAUCCGGUGGUAUAAAGUGGGAUUGCCAUCGCUCAACGGAUAAAAGCUACCCUGGGGAUAACAGGCUUAUCACUCCCAAGAGUUCACAUCGACGGAGUGGUUUGGCACCUCGAUGUCGGCUCAUCGCAUCCUGGGGCUGUAGUAGGUCCCAAGGGUUGGGCUGUUCGCCCAUUAAAGCGGUACGCGAGCUGGGUUCAGAACGU